CGCUGGCGGCGUGCUUAACACAUGCAAGUCGAGCGGAAAGGCUCCUUCGGGGGUACUCGAGCGGCGAACGGGUGAGUAACACGUGAGUAAUCUGCCCUUGGCUUUGGGAUAAGCCCCGGAAACGGGGUCUAAUACCGGAUACGACGCACUCUCGCAUGGGAUGUGUGUGGAAAGUUUUUUCGGCCAGGGAUGUGCUCGCGGCCUAUCAGCUUGUUGGUGGGGUAAUGGCCUACCAAGGCUUCGACGGGUAGCCGGCCUGAGAGGGUGACCGGCCACACUGGGACUGAGACACGGCCCAGACUCCUACGGGAGGCAGCAGUGGGGAAUAUUGGACAAUGGGCGGAAGCCUGAUCCAGCAACGCCGCGUGAGGGAUGACGGCCUUCGGGUUGUAAACCUCUUUCAGUACCGACGAAGCGCCGAUGAUGGUGGUGACGGUAGGUACAGAAGAAGCACCGGCCAACUACGUG
This 468-nucleotide ribosomal RNA is filed under the name uncultured bacterium. RNAcentral describes it as "bacterial SSU rRNA". It matches the Rfam family "Bacterial small subunit ribosomal RNA", at positions 34 to 507 of the family's 1533-position model. The record is from RNAcentral.